ACUGCCCUUCUCUUGGGGUUGCACUACCGUCGGGUGAGUGGUUAGUGAGAACAGGGCUGCUACGAUCUGCUGACCAGCUCGCAUCAACCAAAGCUCCACUUUACCUUGGAGCAAGUUUUGGAAAA
Small nuclear RNA from Cavia aperea (Brazilian guinea pig), 125 nucleotides. The record is from Ensembl. NCBI's taxonomy places the organism in Eukaryota, Metazoa, Chordata, Mammalia, Rodentia, Caviidae.